RNAcentral lists this ribosomal RNA (429 nucleotides) under Bacteroidota bacterium. RNAcentral describes it as "Bacteroidetes bacterium partial 16S ribosomal RNA". It matches the Rfam family "Bacterial small subunit ribosomal RNA", at positions 355 to 776 of the family's 1533-position model. Lineage: Bacteria; Pseudomonadati; Bacteroidota. The record is from RNAcentral. RNAcentral also lists the same sequence under 1 other name.
UAGGGAAUCUUCGGCAAUGAGGGGAACCCUGACCGAGCAACGCCGCGUGAGUGAAGAAGGUUUUCGGAUCGUAAAGCUCUGUUGUUAAGGAAGAACGAGUGUGAGAAUGGAAAGUUCAUGCUGUGACGGUACUUAACCAGAAAGGGACGGCUAACUACGUGCCAGCAGCCGCGGUAAUACGUAGGUCCCGAGCGUUGUCCGGAUUUAUUGGGCGUAAAGCGAGCGCAGGCGGUUAGAAAAGUCUGAAGUGAAAGGCAGUGGCUCAACCAUUGUAGGCUUUGGAAACUGUUUAACUUGAGUGCAGAAGGGGAGAGUGGAAUUCCAUGUGUAGCGGUGAAAUGCGUAGAUAUAUGGAGGAACACCGGUGGCGAAAGCGGCUCUCUGGUCUGUAACUGACGCUGAGGCUCGAAAGCGUGGGGAGCGAACAGG